RNAcentral lists this long non-coding RNA (296 nucleotides) under Carica papaya (papaya). RNAcentral's name for it is "long non-coding RNA (CPAP_LNC011234)". The record is from RNAcentral. Lineage: Eukaryota; Viridiplantae; Streptophyta; Magnoliopsida; Brassicales; Caricaceae.
CAUGAAGGGGAAGUACCUGGGGCCAGGUGACCCGAGUCACCUGACCAGCUUCUUAGCCCACUUAGCCCAACCCGCAGGCUAGCAGAUUAGGCGCCCAAAAAGAACGUGCAGCUUAUGCUACAUAUCCUUGUAGAUGGGCUUAUGGGGGCCCAUCAGAAAGACUAGAGAGAGAAGAAAUCGAUCCCAACCCAAUAGUAAUCGCGGGCCUAACUAAGGAAAAACUGGAGCAAACUGUGGAGCCGUAAGGCCCAAAGGCAGCGUGUGUGCAGGGGCUCGUCCCAAGCCGCACGUUCUUC